This is a non-coding RNA of Rattus norvegicus (Norway rat), 4657 nucleotides long. NCBI's taxonomy places the organism in Eukaryota, Metazoa, Chordata, Mammalia, Rodentia, Muridae. The record is from RefSeq and is a predicted model, not a curated record.
UGCUAUCUGGCAACUCUUUGGAGGUGGCCAAGCUGUCCUCAGUCCUACAUUAAGAACUGCUGCGGACUUAGAGUAAAGCCCGAGCGUCUCCAUGGCAACGCGGCUCAGUUCCCUGAUGUUCCUUCAACCUCCUUAGCACAUCCCCCUUCAUCCAGUCUUCCACUUCAGCUGAGGCCGAAGGGAUGGGGCGGGCUCCGCUAGACAGAGAGGGUGGCUCUGCUGGACAGUCCCCCCUUCAGCCCCCACACACACCCCCUCUCCACCCGGAGCUAGCCAAGGCUUCCUCUGCAGGAUCUGUCUCCUGGCACUGACACGCUCCAGGGGUCUCAGCUGCUGCCCACCAGCCCCUGCUUUCUCCUCUCCAAUUAAGAGGCCUCCUGGCAGCAGCCACAGGCAGGAAAACAAGGCGCUUAUUCUGCUCACUGAGUCAUCUUCAUCCCUAUUGUGACAAAAAUGGACACCCAGACACUGGCAAAGAUAAAGGCAGGUGCCCCCAGGAGACUGUGCAGUUCACAAGCCAUUGGUUUGGGUGACACACACCCCUUUUCACUUGCCACAUUCCUCAAGCUUCCCACCAUCCCCCACUUGUUUCUUGUGUGUGUGUGUGGUGGGGGAGAACACCUCUCUUUCCAGCAGGUCCCCCCCUCCCCCCGCUCCAGCUGCCCCUGCACUCUCAAGUUCAGCAUGUCCCUGCAGCCCAGUCCUCUAUUGUCCCCUCUCUCUGCCAGGACUUUCCUGGUUCUCCACUGUCAUACCCUGCAGGCUUGCAGGUAUGUGUUUUUGCUCAGUGCUGGGGUGUGUGCAAGACCUCAUGUCCCUUCCACAAUCAUCCUCUUUCUCAUGUCACUACCUGGUCUGCCAGCACCUGCUUCCUCCAGCAGAGUGUCUCCAUUCUGGACUUCCAACUCCUGCUCUAGUUGAACUUGGGGCUCCUUCCUGACCUACCUGACUGCAGUCCUGGGUCCCGGCAGCUCCCUAGGCUGCCUCUGGACACAGCUUCCAACCCCACAGGCUCUGUGGCACAGCUCUGUGGCAGGUUUGCACAGCUGUCUGGCUAUCUAGGGAUGUCCCCUGUCACCUCUUCCAGGACGAAGAGGGAGGCUGUGGCGUGCAGGGGUGUGGCUCAUCUGAACUCAGAGACAGAGGGGAUGAUGCUUGCUAAUCAGACUGGUAGGCAGAUUCCCCCCAUCCAUAUCUGACACUGGAGGGGUGGCUCAUUACCCAAAGAGGUGGCCAAAGGAAGCAGUGUACAGAGCGGUAAGCUGAGGGGGAUGACUUGGGAGCUUCCAGGUGACAGACUUCCUCCUGUUCCUCUGCGCUGGGUCUGUACACUUCAAACAUGGUUUCCUGCCUCUGGCCACGCCAUUCCUGGUAAGGUAAUGGGAAUCACACCACCCCUGGACCUCAAGAGCUUGGAUGGCCUGGUGGUGGUGGUGGUGGUGGUGGGGUUAUCCUACCUCUGGCCCUUCUUGGCUGGGUGCUGUUUGAAGCCACUCCCCCUCCUGUGAGCCCCGUCUUCACAGGGUGGCUACAUCUGCAGUACACAGAACAUGGAAACCCCCAAAGAAGCUUAGACCCUCAGAGCAACCGACCUCCAUAAACGCAAAAUUUAGAAACUGAGAAGUCUACGGUUGGGAACCCCAACUUCUGCUUCUGACUUUGAAGCUUUGAUAAUCUGCUCUCGGCAGGGCAGGAAAAGCCCACUCCACCCAGGCUCAAGCCAAGAAGGUGGCUCACUCCAAACCUAGUGGUCCCCCAGAGGCAAGGAAUCCAGUAGACUUGUGGUCCCAAGGCAGGGGCAACACCCCCAAGGCAUUUCCAGGAGCCCGAGCUACUGGAAAUGAGGACCAGAUGUAGGGGGCAUGUGGGCCAUGGGGCUGCACAUGUCACUCUGCAGAUGGGAAAGGGAUGAUCUUACAAAGAGAGGACUUAUUGUGGUGAAUGCUGAGGGGGCCUGUGGCACAGCCUGACAUGAGUGUCUCCUAGGUGCCCCAGGGCCUUGCUGACCCUGUCUUCUUCUACAUACAGUACAUCCUAUUUGGUCAACCGUUUCCCUAAUGGAGGGGGGGUGUUAGCCCGAGGCUCUGACAGCCAAGGAACAGGCAUCCCAGCCAGGGCUGGGUAAAAACCAUGACUUCCAGCUUUAAACCUGUGGGCUAAGACCCUUCCUGGAAGGGCAGUGGUGUGAGGUUGCGGGGUUGGGGUCUGCAUAGUCUCUCCAAACAGAGACAGAGGUAAGGACUGCUAGGCCUUUCCACGGGACCCCCCCCCUUCUAUCUAUCUUACGUAUCACCUCAAGGGAAAAUUCUAGAAUCUGCAAUCAUCCGAGGAGCUGGCUCUUUAAAAGGAAUGUGCUACACACAGAGACACAAACACAGAGACACACCCACGAUCCCCAAGAGGAGGAAGGAGCGGGCAACAGGUCCCGGCCUCCAGCUGCCCAGGUGGCUGACACCAGGAAGGGAGGGCCUCCUGGGUGGCACCCCUAACACACACACACACACACACACACACACACGUAUGUGCGUGCACAUCACACAGUUAUAUACAUAGGCAUAGACACACACACCCACGCUCAGGAAGCAAGGGACAGACUCCUGCCUGGCUCACAGCCAGGCAAGAUCUCAGGGUAAGAACCCCAAGAUGAAGACGUGGGGGUGGGGGCUGAAGGAUAGGGAGGGCAACGCCACACCAUACGUACUCAGUCUUACUCAUUCACACAAAUGUACAUAUGUAGAUUCACAUGCGCACAAACAAGAUAUACAUCAGCCUUAGGUAUUUCCAGGCAGGUACACGUGUGUUUCCCAUACACAGCCACAUGUCCUUGGGAAACACCACAGGCCCACAGACAUUUAAAUGCCACCUCAGCCUUCUAAACUCUCCUGGCUCCCAAGGCCCUGGGAGGUCACUGACUGUGAACUCCUUGGUAAGGCUAGGCUCCCAUCUCAGGGGUGGGAGGUGGGGUGGGGGUGGGGGGUGGGGGGUGGGGGGUGGGGGGUGCAGGCAGCCACUCCUGUCUGAUUCCGUGGAUCCGUGGAGGGACCUGCCCUGGGACCCUGGCCCAGGUCACAGGCUCUCCUGGAUAGAGUCCCUGGCACCUAGAGGUGGCUCCAAGGACUGAGUAUCUGGGGUGGGUUAAGGAGACAGUUCCAUGUUCCAAAAUUGAACUGCUGCUCUGUUCCAAAACCUGAUCUACCUGGAGACAUUCCGCAUCCCUAAUGAGGAGCCCCCACAUCACCCUACCAUACCCCAGGAGUGAGUACCUGUCCCUCCACAAGGAAAAGAUCCCACCUAGACACCUUCCGUUCCUACACCAGGAGGGCCUCACGCACUGAAACACCCGUUUUACAGCGUACCUCCCAACCCCUCCCUGGUUAGCCAUGCACAGUCACCGCCAGCCAGGUGUCCGCGGUGGCCCUGUCACCCUAGGGUGGCCGCCCCUACCUCCUUCUUCACGGUGCGCAGCAGCCUCUGGCGGGUCUCGGCCUCUGCGGGACAAGCAGGGAAGCGCGGUGAGCGGCACCGAGGCCGCGGGGCCUGGCCGCCCUCCCGCCGCCCGCCCGUGCUUACCCGCAGGGACCGAAGCCAUGGCUCAAGCUGGUCGGUACCGGGUGCCCGGACGCGUCUCCGCUCCGCGCCCUGCUGCAGCCGCGAGGAGGCGGGACCGGCAGGGGAUGAAUGACAGCCCAGGAUGCGGACGUCAGAACCUGACAAACCGCCCAAGUCACCCGUGAGAGCUCAGCGCCGCCUCCUGGACAGCUCACAGCACAGAGCAUCCUCCUCCAGCCUCCUCCAGGCAUCAGCGUCAGCCGUGCCAAGUUGCCAAGGGUGACCUAAGAUGCCUAACCGUGACCUACAUCCCGUGUCUCCGUCCAUGUAUAUUUAAAACUGAGGCAAAACCAGGCUCGGGGCAAACUCCUAACGACCCAUUGAUGGGGAGACUGAGGCAGGGGACUCAUGACCUGGUCAGGUUUACUAUUGCUGUGAUAAAAUCCCAGGACCAAAAGCAAGUUAAGGAGGAAAGAAAGGGCUUAUUUGGGUUCCAUCACUGAAGGAAGUCAGGGCAAGGACUCUGGAGGCUGGAGCUGAUGCGGAGGCUAUGCAGGGGUAAUGCUAAUGGCUUUGCCCGAAAAUGGCACUACCCACAGUGAACUCGGUCUACCCCACAAUAAUAACCACUUAAGAAAAUGCCCCCCAUUGAUGGCAUUUUCUCAAUUGAGGCUUGACUGUGGCUUAUGUAGUUGACAUAACACUAGCCAGUACACACCCUACGGGGCGGCCUGAGAAACGUUGGGAAAGCUUCCUUGUAGCCUGGAGGCUUUCCCAGGCUGCUAUCAGUCGGGGCUGGCUCACCCUGUGGCCAGAGCCUGGCGCUGCUUCUGGCAGGGUGCCUGUGGCGCCCUCUAGCGACGACCAUGGGCAUCGCGCGCAGCAGUGAGGCGCCGAAUAUACAGCUCAUCGCUGUCCUGCACAGCGAACGUCUUCACAAUUCACAGCCCAGUAAGAGUGACUGCUGGGAGCCAGUGCCAGUGGGGGUCUUCUUUCUUGUUGAUUCUUCUUGAAGUAGCAGAGGGGGAAGAGCGUCCGCGAAGGGUGAGAUUUUGUCUUACAAGAUAUUUAGGGUUGCUGUAUAAUAAUAAUAAAAAGUUUACUUAUC